This 600-nucleotide ribosomal RNA is filed under the name Rhodococcus jostii. RNAcentral describes it as "bacterial SSU rRNA". It matches the Rfam family "Bacterial small subunit ribosomal RNA", at positions 549 to 1149 of the family's 1533-position model. The record is from RNAcentral. Lineage: Bacteria; Bacillati; Actinomycetota; Actinomycetes; Mycobacteriales; Nocardiaceae.
AAUUACAGGGCGUAAAGAGUUCGUAGCCGGUUUGUCGCGUCGUUUGUGAAAACUCACAGCUCAACUGUGAGCCUGCAGGCGAUACGGGCUGACUUGAGUACUGCAGGGGAGACUGGAAUUCCUGGUGUAGCGGUGAAAUGCGCAGAUAUCAGGAGGAACACCGGUGGCGAAGGCGGGUCUCUGGGCAGUAACUGACGCUGAGGAACGAAAGCGUGGGUAGCAAACAGGAUUAGAUACCCUGGUAGACCACGCCGUAAACGGUGGGCGCUAGGUGUGGGUUCCUUCCACGGGAUCUGUGCCGUAGCUAACGCAUUAUGCGCCCGGCCUGGGGAGUACGGCCGCAAGGCUAAAACUCAAAGGAAUUGACGGGGGCCCGCACAAGCGGCGGAGCAUGUGGAUUAAUUCGAUGCAACGCGAAGAACCUUACCUGGGUUUGACAUAUUCCGGAAAGCCGUAGAGAUACGGCCCCCCUUGUGGUCGGUAUACAGCUGGUGCAUGGCAGUCGUCAGCUCGUGUCGUGAGAAGUUGGGUUAAGUCCCGCAACGAGCGGAUCCCUUGUCUUAUGUUGCCAGCACGUAAUGGUGGGGACUCGUAAGAGAC